AAAUUGCUCCAAAAGCAACCCUGAAUGAACAUAAGGAUAAUGACACAAGACCAGAGUUACAAGAGUCAGAAAAGAGACUUUAGAUCCCUACAAGUUUUUGACACCUUAUGAAUUUGAGAGAGGAAAGUUGCCUCCUGAGGAAAUAUUAUCCCUUCAAAUGUUUAAGGUAUGGAUCUUAUCUCAGUCCAAUAGAAGACAAAUGUUGGUAAAAUGUAAGCUGGAAACUUAAACUUCUUUCAGGAUACAUUAUUAUCUGGUUGUAUUAAUUUCCUUAAGAUGAUCACUUGAAAGCAAGCAUUGAAACUGAGAGUUUUACCAGUCUGCACUAACAUAGUUCAGUGAAGGGAAAGAUUAUGUUAUUUACAUUUUAUUUACCUUCACAAACUAUAAUGAAAACCAGUUUGCAUGCUUACACCAUGAAAUACAUUUAGAAGUAGCCUUGUAUUUCCCAGUCUUAAUCUUAGGAGCUCUCUCGAUGAAGUUUUCUUAGAAAAUAUUCCAUUCGAAAUGAAAUAUAUGCAAAAACGGACUAAAUUAGCCUAGUAUAAAAGGUAAUUGACCAUAUUUAAUAUGUUCAAUCAAUAAAAAAUUAGUCAAUUGAAGUUACCCUCUCAAAGACUAAUAAAUUGAGUUAUUAUUAGAAAUACAAAAAGUUAAAUUAAAUGAAGAGUAUUAAAGCGAUAGUAAUGAUUAAAUAAUGAGAUAUUGUUAAUAUUUGCUUAGAUUUCAUUUCAUAAUAUAUUCACGCAUGACUCUUGAAGUGCAUAAACGACUAUGAAAGAAGAUUAAGGUUGAGUCUCAACUCAAAUUAGAUUGAAAACCCCAAAAUUACCCUUAAAACAAUGUCAAUUUAAGGGGGUAAUUUCAGUUUUUUAGAGGGGAGAAGGAUAGCGGGCCAGAAACUGCUCCGGGCCGGGAACCACUCUGCUCCUCUAUCCCUCUAUUUAUCCUAUAGCGACCGCUAUAGUGUUUUGCGCCGCUAAGACUCUUCCUGCAAUGGUCGGCCUCCGCUCCGCUAUAGCGGGAUAGCGCCGCUAUUGACUACUCUUUCAUUACUGGAGCUCUAGCUGCUGACAAUUUAGUCUUCUUUCACUGCACCACCUGGCCACUUUUUCAUCAGGGUUUUGACCACUGAGUUCUUGAUGAUGAAAUGAUUAAUCUAAUGAACCUUUGUGACUACAAAUAUUUAAAUGCAUCGGAUCCAUUGCACGUUCUUGAUAGGGAAUAAGACACUGGAAUUGUGCAUGGUAUAGUAAAGGUCAAAAUAUUGAAUUUGUGAAAGCUUCCAUGGUGUACAAUUGUAUGCUUAUGAGACUUACACUUUUGAACAGAUGGAGCUUGCAGAACUAUACUGCAGGAAAUACUGCUUGUGUUGUAUAUUAAGAAUUUGGCAAAAAAUGUGAUUACUGAGGAUUUCUAUUUUUUAUUUGGUGAGUUUUCAAGACUUUCAUAUACAGGCUUUGUUUAAUACUUUUUUCUCAUGCAAUUCAAAUGCUUCACCAUCCAAAUGAAAUAUAACUCAGUAACCUAAUGAAAAUAUAGAUGCUUUGGGAUUUUCUUAGUUUAUUGUUUUUGUCUCUUUUUUUUUGUUGAAAUCUAGUUGUUGUCUGGGUGUUAAUUCCACAGCUUAUCUGAUAUUGGCUUUGUCUGGUCUUCAAGUCAAACUGAUGCAGGUAAAAUUUUGCUCUUUUAUUUUAUGCAGAAAUAAUUCCAAAGUUUUAGUCGUUUGCUAGAAUAUGAUCCAUUUAAAUAGCUGGUGCAAUUUGAUCCAGAGUACUUACUCAACUAACCAGAAUUGCGUCCCAUGAAACUCUUGUAGCAGCAUCUUUGUGAGCCCCGAAUUAAUAGCUAGUUUUGAAUUUCAGGAAGGAUGAGGGCUCAAGCUUUUUUAACAAUCCCCUUCCUCAGAACUGGCUUAUCGAGCUUUGUCACAAGUUAUUGUUUUUUAUAAAUAUAUAUGUUUUACUCGAAAUGAUUAUGUUUGUAGUUUUUUCUAGAUUUAGCAGUAUAUCAGUCUAUUUUCUUCUUCUGUUGGCAUAAUUUUUUAUAUUGCAGAGUUUGCCAAAUAAGAAAAUCAAUAGUCUUGGUACUAGCUUCCUUUCGAGAAUCUAGUGAAUGGACAUGUAUUUUGAUGCUGCCAAGUGAACUUAAAUCUAUGGUCAUAGAAAGGAUGUUUCGAUAUGGUGUUUUAAGAACAGCGUGAUUCUCUGCUGCCGUUCGAUUAUGUGAUAACUACCGAAUUGCUAAUGAUGCAUUCUUCAUUCAAUGACCGGAAGAGGACAGUGAUAGACCUAGACCAUUAGGGCAUCAACAUUAGCAAAUGUUCACGUGCAUUCUAUUCUCUUUGGGUGUAUAGUGAGGUGUUCAGAUGAAAAAAAAACUACUUUGCUUAGAAAUCUAUAGAAUUCGGAAUCAGAUUGUUUGCAAGAGGGGUCGAAUAUGCAGACCAAGCUUAUUUAUUACAAAGGAAGUAUUGCUUGGACCUGUGUUAUUUACAUCCCUUUUCGCAAAGAAUUAAGCAGACAAAGUUGUAAUAUAUACUAUAGUAUUAUGAAAGUGCCAAUUUUGCCAA
This is a long non-coding RNA of Vicia villosa (hairy vetch), 2572 nucleotides long. RefSeq lists it as uncharacterized. The transcript has 2 exons. NCBI's taxonomy places the organism in Eukaryota, Viridiplantae, Streptophyta, Magnoliopsida, Fabales, Fabaceae. The record is from RefSeq and is a predicted model, not a curated record.